GUUGUCUUACUCUCCUGCAUUUGACCGAGAAAAUCUUUCGCCUUUUACUAAAGAUUUCCGUGCAGGAGAGUAUUCAUGAUUGUAAUGAUAUUUUUUGGAAGUCCCGCAAGGGGCA
RNAcentral lists this small nuclear RNA (115 nucleotides) under Loa loa (African eye worm). Its description in RNAcentral is "U5 spliceosomal RNA". It matches the Rfam family "U5 spliceosomal RNA". From Rfam's summary of the family: U5 RNA is a component of both types of known spliceosome. The precise function of this molecule is unknown, though it is known that the 5' loop is required for splice site selection and p220 binding, and that both the 3' stem-loop and the Sm site are important for Sm protein binding and cap methylation. The record is from RNAcentral. Lineage: Eukaryota; Metazoa; Nematoda; Chromadorea; Rhabditida; Onchocercidae.